GAGUUUGAUCCUGGCUCAGAUUGAACGCUGGCGGCACGCCUUACACAUGCAAGUCGAACGGCAGCACGGGAGCUUGCUCCUGGUGGCGAGUGGCGAACGGGUGAGUAAUGCAUCGGAACGUAUCCUGGAGUGGGGGAUAACGUAGCGAAAGUUACGCUAAUACCGCAUAUUCUGUGAGCAGGAAAGCGGGGACCUUCGGGCCUCGCGCUCUUGGAGCGGCCGAUGUCGGAUUAGCUAGUUGGUGAGGUAAAGGCUCACCAAGGCGACGAUCCGUAGCAGGUCUGAGAGGAUGAUCUGCCACACUGGAACUGAGACACGGUCCAGACUCCGUACGGGA
RNAcentral lists this ribosomal RNA (337 nucleotides) under bacterium enrichment culture clone ALO1_GLFRUDD03F0ZVM. RNAcentral describes it as "bacterial SSU rRNA". It matches the Rfam family "Bacterial small subunit ribosomal RNA", at positions 9 to 346 of the family's 1533-position model. The record is from RNAcentral.